RNAcentral lists this ribosomal RNA (449 nucleotides) under uncultured bacterium. RNAcentral's name for it is "partial 16S ribosomal RNA". It matches the Rfam family "Bacterial small subunit ribosomal RNA", at positions 29 to 523 of the family's 1533-position model. The record is from RNAcentral.
AGCGAACGCUGGCGGCAGGCCUAACACAUGCAAGUCGAGCGCCGUAGCAAUACGGAGCGGCAGACGGGAGAGUAACACGUGGGAACGUACCCUUUGGUUCGGAACAACCCAGGGAAACUUGGGCUAAUACCGAAUAAGCCCUCACGGGGAAAGAUUUAUCGCCGAAGGAUCGGCCCGCGUCUGAUUAGCUAGUUGGUGGGGUAAUGGCCCACCAAGGCGACGAUCAGUAGCUGGUCUGAGAGGAUGAUCAGCCUCACCGGGACUGAGACACGGCCCAGACUCCUACGGGAGGCAGCAGUGGGGAAUAUUGGACAAUGGGCGCAAGCCUGAUCCAGCCAUGCCGCGUGGGUGAUGAAGGCCCUAGGGUUGUAAGGCCCUUUCGGCGGGGAAGAUAAUGACGGUACCCGCAGAAGAAGCCCCGGCUAACUUCGUGCCAGCCGCCGCAGUAA